Molecule: ribosomal RNA, 253 nt
Filed under: uncultured bacterium
Lineage: Bacteria
Description: partial 16S ribosomal RNA
Rfam family: Bacterial small subunit ribosomal RNA
Source: RNAcentral
UACGUAGGGUGCGAGCGUUGUCCGGAAUUAUUGGGCGUAAAGGGCUCGUAGGCGGCCAACUAAGUCCGACGUGAAAUCCCCAGGCUUAACCUGGGAACUGCGUCGGAUACUGGAUGGCUUGAAUCCGGGAGAGGGAUGCGGAAUUCCAGGUGUAGCGGUGAAAUGCGUAGAUAUCUGGAGGAACACCGGUGGCGAAGGCGGCAUCCUGGACCGGCAUUGACGCUGAGGAGCGAAAGCCAGGGGAGCAAACGGG